This 494-nucleotide ribosomal RNA is filed under the name uncultured bacterium. RNAcentral describes it as "partial 16S ribosomal RNA". It matches the Rfam family "Bacterial small subunit ribosomal RNA", at positions 28 to 507 of the family's 1533-position model. The record is from RNAcentral.
GACGAACGCUGGCGGCGUGCUUAACACAUGCAAGUCGAACGGUGAAGCGCCUUCCUUUUUGGUGGGUGUGGAUGAGUGGCGAACGGGUGAGUAACACGUGAGUAACCUGCCCCCUUCUUCGGGAUAACCGCAUGAAAGUGUGGCUAAUACGGGAUAUUCUGGGUCUGUCGCAUGAUGGGUCUGGGAAAGAUAUUGUUUCGGUGGGGGAUGGGCUCGCGGCCUAUCAGCUUGUUGGUGGGGUGAUGGCCUACCAAGGCGGUGACGGGUAGCCGGCCUGAGAGGGUGGACGGUCACACUGGGACUGAGACACGGCCCAGACUCCUACGGGCGGCAGCAGUGGGGAAUAUUGCACAAUGGGCGCAAGCCUGAUGCAGCGACGCCGCGUGAGGGAUGGAGGCCUUCGGGUUGUGAACCUCUUUCGCCAGUGAAGCAGGCCUGCCUCGUUUGUGGGUGGGUUGACGGUAGCUGGAUAAGAAGCGCCGGCUAACUACGUG